RNAcentral lists this ribosomal RNA (253 nucleotides) under uncultured bacterium. Its description in RNAcentral is "partial 16S ribosomal RNA". It matches the Rfam family "Bacterial small subunit ribosomal RNA", at positions 524 to 776 of the family's 1533-position model. The record is from RNAcentral.
UACAGAGGGGGCGAGCGUUAUUCGGAAUCACUGGGCGUAAAGGGUGCGUAGGCGGGUCUUUAAGUCAGGGGUGAAAUCCUGGAGCUCAACUCCAGAACUGCCUUUGAUACUGAGGAUCUUGAGUACGGGAGAGGUGAGUGGAACUGCGAGUGUAGAGGUGAAAUUCGUAGAUAUUCGCAAGAACACCAGUGGCGAAGGCGGCCCACUGGCCCGUUACUGACGCUGAGGCACGAAAGCGUGGGGAGCAAACAGG